GUGCCUUGGAUACAACAGAAAUUUCAACCAGAGGUUUUCUGUAAAGAAAACGAAAAGGACACCAUGUGUGUUGUGAUCUUUGUGUCAGAAGACCCAUGGAGCAUGCUUCCUACAGUGUGCUGAUGCUGAACAGCCAGUAUGAUUUGGUUUCUGCUUCUCAUGCAUCGAGACAGGAAGAGUUGGUCCUGUGAAGAAACCUGUGGUGAGGAAGACAAAACCACAGUCAACAUGAAUUCCAAGUGGUAACACUUAGUGUCCUGGGAUGGAGUGCUGAGAGAAAUCCGGAGGAUUCAGAGAAGAUGACCAAAAAGGACUACUUCACAGGGCUCCCAUGUGCUCAGCUUGCAAUUGGAUUCAGCCACCAGAGAUCCCUGGCAAGAGAAUAAAGAAAAAAUAUGUGGGCCACUGGCUUAGGAAGACUGCGUUUUCAGGGGAAAUGACCCAUGGGUGAGCGCUGUGGCACAGACUUAAAAGACUAUGACACUUUCUUUUGGCCUCCAUCAUUUCUGAUAAGAAAUUCACUGUCUUUCAAAUUAUUUGCUCUCACAGAACAAGAACUCGGACCUGGCUGAGCUAGAGACUAAGCAGACUGCAAUAUUUGGGACCUCAUCUGGGAUUGUCAGAAGGUCUCCAGCCGCCAUGAGAAGACAUGCCUUGCUUCCCCUUCACCUUCUGCCAUGAUUGUAAGUUUUCUGAAACGCUCAAACCAUGCUUCCUUUUAAGCCUGCAGAACUGUGAGUAAAUUAAACCUUUUUACUUAUAAAUUGCCCAGUAUUGGGUAUUUACUUAUAGCAGUGUGAAAAUGGACUAAUACAGUCAGUUUACUUCAUUAUUUCUUUUUCUUUCCCAGCUUGUGGAUAAAUCAUGAUAGCUCUGCCACUGAUUUGCCAUGUGACUUUGAAAGUGUUACGUUUCUUCCUUCAGGAGCUCUUGUAGGGCAGACCUGGUGGUGACAAAAUCUCUCAACAUUUGCUUGUC
This 978-nucleotide long non-coding RNA is filed under the name Homo sapiens (human). Its description in RNAcentral is "HSALNT0328590". Lineage: Eukaryota; Metazoa; Chordata; Mammalia; Primates; Hominidae. The record is from RNAcentral.